GACGAACGCUGGCGGCGUGCCUAAUACAUGCAAGUUGAGCGCUGAAGGUUGGUACUUGUACCGACUGGAUGAGCAGCGAACGGGUGAGUAACGCGUGGGGAAUCUGCCUUUGAGCGGGGGACAACAUUUGGAAACGAAUGCUAAUACCGCAUAAAAACUUUAAACACAAGUUUUAAGUUUGAAAGAUGCAAUUGCAUCACUCAAAGAUGAUCCCGCGUUGUAUUAGCUAGUUGGUGAGGUAAAGGCUCACCAAGGCGAUGAUACAUAGCCGACCUGAGAGGGGGAUCGGCCACAUUGGGACUGAGACACGGCCCAAACGCCUACGGGAGGCAGCAGUAGGGAAUCUUCGGCAAUGGACGAAAGUCUGACCGAGCAACGCCGCGUGAGUGAAGAAGGUUUUCGGAUCGUAAAACUCUGUUGGUAGAGAAGAACGUUGGUGAGAGUGGAAAGCUCAUCAAGUGACGGUAACUACCCAGAAAGGGACGGCUAACUACGUG
This 497-nucleotide ribosomal RNA is filed under the name uncultured bacterium. RNAcentral's name for it is "partial 16S ribosomal RNA". It matches the Rfam family "Bacterial small subunit ribosomal RNA", at positions 28 to 507 of the family's 1533-position model. The record is from RNAcentral.